CAGCAGCCGCGGUAAUACGAAGGGUGCAAGCGUUAAUCGGAAUUACUGGGCGUAAAGCGUGCGUAGGCGGUGAGUUAAGUCUGCUGUGGAAUCCCCGGGCUCAACCUGGGAAUGGCAGUGGAUACUGGCUCGCUAGAGUGUGUCAGAGGAUGGUGGAAUUCCCGGUGUAGCGGUGAAAUGCGUAGAGAUCGGGAGGAACAUCAGUGGCGAAGGCGGCCAUCUGGGACAACACUGACGCUGAGGCACGAAAGCGUGGGGAGCAAACAGGACUAGAUACCCCCGUAGUCCCUGUCUCUUAUAC
RNAcentral lists this ribosomal RNA (301 nucleotides) under uncultured bacterium. Its description in RNAcentral is "partial 16S ribosomal RNA". It matches the Rfam family "Bacterial small subunit ribosomal RNA", at positions 509 to 807 of the family's 1533-position model. The record is from RNAcentral.